GCGCGGAGCGCCGCGCAUGCGCAGCCGGCCUGGCCGACGCCGCGCCCUGAGGAGCCGCGAGGGCGGAGGCGGAGAGAUGGCGCUGGGCAUACCUAGUGCUCUGAGAAUGACAGAGUUGGGCAAAGUCCCCAUCCUGUGGAGCUUCCAAUCGGAAAAAUCCUCUACACAUGAACAAGGCUGGCAGAAUAGCAGUUGAUCCACAGUGGGAGCCCAGAGAAUGAAGUGGGUUUGAAGGGAGCACAAAUAGAAAGACAUUCCAAAAAUGGCUUUGCAGUAUUUAAAGGUCUGGGUACCCGUUGUAAUGUGAACAUAUUUGCUGAGGCUUCUGUUCGGCUAAGAAUGGUCUGUGGACUCAGGUCUUAACCAGAUGAACCAGCUACUCUUGAAUCUCUGAGUCCUCUCUUGACCUUGCAGUGAUACUGUGCAUUGAACUCACUGUAAACCUACUGCGUGCUAUCAGCCUGUUCCUGCUUGGUGUCUUCCGCAUUCCCCCAUCCAGCUUUCAGACGGCAUUGCUUCCCGACUUAGAUUUACCCUCAUCUCCUUUCCUGCUCAACAGCUUCUGAAGGGUGGCACUCCUGAAAUGAAUCCAGAGGUGGUGACAGCUGUCCUUCAUUCAGAAUAGAUGUCAAAAGCAGUGAAGUUCUUUUUGGAAAAAAGCUUUUUCCUUCUCUAGAACGUUUAUUUGAGUCACAGUCUUCCACUUGCCCAAAUUCCACAUCUGCCUCUAAAGAAGCCUGCCCAGUCCUGUGUAUUAUGUACCAGACAGCCAUUCUGAUCAUUGAGUCAAAUAUGUAGCACUCAAACAUACGUCUUCUCCAAAUGCAAGUUAGCAGAGGAAUACCUCUUAAACCCAGGAACAACAGGAUGGAACAUGUGGGGCCAGGAUUUUCCAGGACUGCCUGAGGGUCAUCUGGACGUUUCUGCAUGGUAAGUCCACCUGUCAUCCAGUGGCCACUUUCAACCAGGGCUGAAUGUGCAAUGCUGAAAGAAGGGGAGGGCACAAUGCUUUGGGAGGCAAACACAAGGUUUCCUCCCCACUGCCCUUCAUUAGAUCCUGCCGCUGCCCAGGCUGUCCCUAACAAUCACUGUGGGUAUAAUUUUAGAAAGAACUGGAAGAAGGAAAACCGUUACUGCAACUUUCAGUUGGCAGACUACAUCACCGUGUUUCUGCCUCCUGGCUCUUCUACCCCACAUGCCUUGGAAAGGAGAGAAAGGGAAACAGCUAGAAGAGGAGGAAGAACAGGAAAAAGAAGGAACAGCUCAGGACUCCGUUCUCCAGAUCUGCCAGUGAUGAGAAGAAGCAGCUGUAGUAGCAGUUCACAGCAUGGAGGGGUUGCUCUGAUCUCAUUUCGGGAAUAAGUUUGCUUGCUAAGAGGUGAGGACAGGAGACCUGUGGGAAGGAAGUGAGCUCUGACUCUCUGUCCAGUAUCAUCAGACACUGCUUCUGCUGUCAUUUCCAUCACCCUGCACAUGAGACAUGAGGAACUGAACACGCGGUAGGAAGAGCCUGAACAGAUCAUGCAAAGCAGCACAUCCUCCAGUUGCUCGAAGGGACACUGUGGAACAUGGAGCUGGAAUGCCGUGGGUUUGAGGAAAGACUCGAGAGAGAGAGAGAAGUUGAGGGGGAACAGGGAUAUCAGGCAGACUCCAAGCAGAUGACUUGUGCCAAGUGAGAUGGCUGGCAGGAGGAUGAAUGCAAAGCUGGAAAGUCAGGAGGAGAUGUACACACAGCAUUUAGUUCUUUUCUGAUUUAAUCCAAAAUCCUUUGCUGUUUGCCUUUUUUCAUAAUGUCCUCGUUCUCAGGUCAUGUGAUUAUGUGAGACUUUCAGCCUUCAAUUAAAAAUAAUUCUACUGGUUCUUCAGGUCACAGAGAAAAGCUUGCAACAGACAACCCCACUGGAAAGGCUGAAAGCCCAGGGUGCAGCCUGAAUCCCUUUGAGAUAAUCCGUUGCCUUCCUAUUGGUGGUUGCUGUAUUGUGGUUUUUUGAAGUCACCAAGACCCAGUCAGAGCUGCAGCACAUAUUUGGGUUUUUAGGCCAUGUAUUUUACCCCAAAUGUGGUAGAUCUGUGGGAGGAAGAUGGAACAGCCCAGAAAUGGCAUCAUUUUGACACAUGGAAGACAGUGAUUCAGAUAUUUCACAGUGUUUUGUGAUUCAUCUAUCAUCAUGUCUGCACUCCAGCAUGUCUCCUGAGUGACUGGGAUUCAGCUCUGGAGGAUAAGAAGGGGAGAAAAACAGCAGCACUGAGAAAGAUUAUUCCCAUGUUUAAUAUGGCUCUGCAGACUGGGAAGGACAGGCAAUUCCCUCCGGUCCUCCAGUGUCCUUUCUGUGGCUCACCAUGGUCUCCACCUCGACUCACUGCAUAGGGCCCCUAACUGGAAAUGUCCUUUGCAAUCCAGUUGUUGUUGUCGCUGCUGUGAACCAUAUUGGUUACGUGAAAGAAGCCAGGGAUAUGCAAAAGUUGCAUGGGAUCUGAGCAUACAGUAUAAAUCACAUCUUUCCUUGAAGCACGUGGAGGAUCAGAUAAGGAAAUGUUCUUACUGAGUGCUACAGACUGUAGGUCUGAAGACUUGGAGUUAUUCAUUUCUAUUCAGGGGAGCAAAUCCUCACGCUGGCAACACAGAUGAUAACAGCAACAAAUGUGUGCAAAGGCUUUUGAGUGCUCCCUCUGCUACACUGUGGCAGUGGGCUUCUUUUCUGAGCACUUUCGGGGGGUCUUCCCCUUCUUCCAAUCUGCAGAGAUCUGGCAGUCUUCUAAGAGGAGAGCAAGUGGAUGAAAACAUGACUUUAAGCCAGAAUUUUCAGCAUUUACACCACAGAAGGGGAGUUUAUAAAGGUGGUAAGUCAUGCACAUUUUCCAUCUGUGCAUCACUGUAUGGCAACAAAGUCAUCCUAUUUUCCCACUAGGAUCACACGGUGUCACUGAACUUCACUUAUUCUUAUGGCAUUGGCACUGCAGUUUCAAAAGAAAAAUCCCCGUGCUCUCUGGAAUGCUGCACCGUUGGGUAUCGCAGUCGGAAAACAUCCUGCCUACAGCGCACGCUAGGAAAACAGCGCAGUGCUGCCUGAAGUGCCAAGUGGUUUUUUUGGAAGGCCGACUCCCCUGAAAAUAAAGGAUAUUGGUAUCUGUCCAAGAGGACAGGCAGAAACAGGUCCUGUGCAAGACUCGGAGUUUUGGCGGAGCCUGAAAUAUUGCAGCCUUGUUUAUAUCAGCUUGGACUUUUGGCUUCAAAGGUGAGCUACCCAAAACCUAAACAAAUGGGUAACAAAUUGAUGAGCUCCAAAUUAUUUUUCUAGCUAUAUUUACAGCUGCAUAAAACAGGGAUUUACCUUUUUAGCUGCUCUAAUAUCUAGGAGUAACUUAAUAUCUCCAUUUAAAAAAAUCCCCCAAAGGAAAUUUCCUUUUUUUCCUGUGGUACAUUCCUCAGAGUGUUUAGAUUUCCACUCAAAAUUCCCUAAUUGUCUUUACAUAGUAGUCAGUUGUUUUUACUUCCCUUUUCCCCAUUUUAGUGAAUAGUUCUAGUCUAAUGAUGCAGUAGGCAUUUUAUGCAGAUUAUUUACCAGCUUCAAUUUCCUAUCCCAGUAUUAUCCUGCUUCUUAAAAUGAGAUUGAAAGCCACCUCAGGUGGUUGUAUAAAGCACCCAAACAAGCAUAUUUGACAUGAUCCUUUAUAAAUCUUUUCUUCUCUUCAAUGUUAUGAUAAUUAAUACCUGAAUGGAAUUUUUGAAUGUCAAGGAUCUGGUUUGUUUAUAGAUCUGUAAUUAAAAUAAUUUCCUUAUA
Molecule: long non-coding RNA, 3782 nt
Organism: Dromaius novaehollandiae (emu)
Lineage: Eukaryota; Metazoa; Chordata; Aves; Casuariiformes; Dromaiidae
Exons: 11
Source: RefSeq, a predicted model, not a curated record